This 855-nucleotide ribosomal RNA is filed under the name Leptosphaeria sp. PHY-06. RNAcentral's name for it is "eukaryotic LSU rRNA". It matches the Rfam family "Eukaryotic large subunit ribosomal RNA", at positions 69 to 941 of the family's 3401-position model. Lineage: Eukaryota; Fungi; Ascomycota; Dothideomycetes; Pleosporales; Leptosphaeriaceae. The record is from RNAcentral.
CAGGGAUUGCCCUAGUAACGGCGAGUGAAGCGGCAACAGCUCAAAUUUGAAAUCUGGCUCUUUUAGGGUCCGAGUUGUAAUUUGCAGAGGGCGCUUUGGCGUUGGCAGCGGUCCAAGUUCCUUGGAACAGGACGUCACAGAGGGUGAGAAUCCCGUACGUGGUCGCUAACCUUCGCCGUGUAAAGCCCCUUCGACGAGUCGAGUUGUUUGGGAAUGCAGCUCUAAAUGGGAGGUAAAUUUCUUCUAAAGCUAAAUACUGGCCAGAGACCGAUAGCGCACAAGUAGAGUGAUCGAAAGAUGAAAAGCACUUUGGAAAGAGAGUCAAAUAGCACGUGAAAUUGUUAAAAGGGAAGCGCUUGCAGCCAGACUUGCCUGUAGUUGCUCAUCCGGACUUUUGUCCGGUGCACUCUUCUAUAGGCAGGCCAGCAUCAGUUUGGGCGGUUAGAUAAAGGUCUCUGUCAUGUACCUCCUUUCGGGGAGGCCUUAUAGGGGAGACGACAUGUAACCAGCCUGGACUGAGGUCCGCGCAUUUAUGCUAGGAUGCUGGCGUAAUGGCUGUAAGCGGCCCGUCUUGAAACACGGACCAAGGAGUCUAACAUCUAUGCGAGUGUUUGGGUGUCAAGCCCGAACGCGUAAUGAAAGUGAACGGAGGUGGGAACCCUUUAGGGUGCACCAUCGACCGAUCCUGAUGUCUUCGGAUGGAUUUGAGUAAGAGCAUGGCUGUUGGGACCCGAAAGAUGGUGAACUAUGCUUGAAUAGGGUGAAGCCAGAGGAAACUCUGGUGGAGGCUCGCAGCGGUUCUGACGUGCAAAUCGAUCGUCAAAUUUGGGCAUAGGGGCGAAAGACUAAUCGACC